RNAcentral lists this ribosomal RNA (484 nucleotides) under uncultured bacterium. RNAcentral's name for it is "partial 16S ribosomal RNA". It matches the Rfam family "Bacterial small subunit ribosomal RNA", at positions 29 to 507 of the family's 1533-position model. The record is from RNAcentral.
AUUGAACGCUGGCGGCAUGCUUUACACAUGCAAGUCGAACGGCAGCGCGGGCUUCGGCCUGGCGGCGAGUGGCGAACGGGUGAGUAAUGCAUCGGAACGUGCCCAGUAGUGGGGGAUAGCCCGGCGAAAGCCGGAUUAAUACCGCAUACAACCUGUGGGUGAAAGUGGGGGACCGAAAGGCCUCGCGCUAUUGGAGCGGCGGAUGUCGGAUUAGCUAGUUGGUGGGGUAAAGGCUUACCAAGGCGACGAUCCGUAGCUGGUCUGAGAGGACGACCAGCCACACUGGGACUGAAACACGACCCAGACUCCUACGGUAGGCAGCAGUGGGGAAUUUUGGACAAUGGGGGCAACCCUGAUCCAGCCAUGCCGCGUGCGGGAAGAAGGCCUUCGGGUUGUAAACCGCUUUUGUUCGGGAAGAAAUCCUCUGGGCUAAUACCCCGGGGGGAUGACGGUACCGGAAGAAUAAGCACCGGCUAACUACGUG